RNAcentral lists this ribosomal RNA (476 nucleotides) under uncultured bacterium. Its description in RNAcentral is "partial 16S ribosomal RNA". It matches the Rfam family "Bacterial small subunit ribosomal RNA", at positions 29 to 523 of the family's 1533-position model. The record is from RNAcentral.
AGUGAACGCUGGCAGCGUGCCUAACACAUGCAAGUCGAACGAUGAUGGAGAGCUUGCUCUCCUGAUUAGUGGCGCACGGGUGAGUAUACCAUAGAUAAUGUACCCCUUAGUUCGGGAUAGCCACUGGAAACGGUGAUUAAUACCGGAUACUCCUUCUCAUUAUAAGAUGAGUCGGGAAAGUUUUUUCGCUAAGGGAUCAGUCUAUGUCCUAUCAGCUAGUUGGUGAGGUAAUGGCUCACCAAGGCUAUGACGGGUAUCUGGUUUGAGAGGAUGAUCAGACACACUGGAACUGAGACACGGUCCAGACUCCUACGGGAGGCAGCAGUGAGGAAUAUUGCACAAUGGAGGAAACUCUGAUGCAGCAACGCCGCGUGGAGGAUGACGCAUUUCGGUGUGUAAACUCCUUUUAAGAGGGAAGAUUAUGACGGUACCUCUUGAAUAAGCACCGGCUAACUCCGUGCCAGCAGCCGCCGCGG